This is an RNA transcript of Myxocyprinus asiaticus (Chinese sucker), 2971 nucleotides long. RefSeq lists it as uncharacterized. Lineage: Eukaryota; Metazoa; Chordata; Actinopteri; Cypriniformes; Catostomidae. The transcript is spliced from 5 exons. The record is from RefSeq and is a predicted model, not a curated record.
AUGUGGCAUUGCCACAACUGCACUAGCCUGCUUGUUUUGCAUUUUUCCAGCAUGCUACCAUUUGCAGUUGUGGAUUUUAUGUAUAGUGGAGGUGUAGCUAUUGUACACUGCAAGUGGUUUACAGGACCAGAGGAAGAUGCUUGUUACUGGCCACCAGGACGAGUCAACAUCAGCAAGGCAGUGAAGGAUGGACUUGUUCCAAACACUGACUGGCCGCAGUUUAAAGUGCGCAUCUUGGGAAAAGCAGGAAACUAUGCCCAUGCCACAGCAAAGCUUUUGAAGUCUCAGGUGAACUCUGACUUGCAGACAAAGUCAGAUUCCAGAGGAAGGAUGGGAAAAGGGAAGGUCAAAAGAAGGCCAGUGAUUCUGUCAAGCUCAGAUGAGGAAUCAGAUGGUGCUGGGCAUGAUCAUCCACCAUCCAAUGUGCCUUCACCUCCCCCAGUUCCAGAGAACCUCCAACCAGAGGCCCCCCACUCGCUCAACACCCGUCCAUUUAUCCAGCCCUCUCCACCUUCAACACCUUCAGUUGUUACACCAGAUAACCCACGUAGACGUCUGCAAGGUGUCAAUUCUGCAUUUAGAGAUGGCAUGUUUGUACACCUCCUAACCCUCCUGGAGGAAAUCAAGGAGACGCAGAGGGUUCAUGGGAAGAUGAUACAAUCACUCCUCACACAACGUGAUGCAACCACUGUUGCAGCACUACCUGAUGUCAUUUUCCCCCUUAAAACGGUCUCGGAUGUUGAAGCAAUGGAGCGGAAAUUGGCAGACCCCACCUUUCACAAAGAAGUGGUUGCCGUGGUGGCAGAUAUUGGAGGGAGUACUGUGGAUGAAGCCACUCGGAGAAUGAUGGCCUUCCUUUAGGACCACCCGUUAUCAAGAGAGUACAAUUUUGUUGGGCGCCAUGGAAAGGGAGAAUUCCGGGGACUCAAACUGUUUGAGGUUUUAUACGGCAGCUUGAAAAAAAAAAAAUGGCCUUACAAACCAAAUAAAUAGAAAAGAUGCUGAAAAGGCAGUGUCAAAGUGGCUAAUUGGUGCCAGGGACAGGUGAGGAACCCGUACUGCAAGGGCACAUGCAGGAGAGCAAGAUGGGUAUAAGUCGCUAUGCUUUAAAUGGAACUACAAUGAACAAAAUGUUGACAUAAAUAUAAAUCCAGGGCAUCUUUAUGUAUUUGGUUAAUAUGCAAAUUACUGUAGUUGAACUAGUAGGGCCCUAUGAAACAUGAAUAAUACAUAUUUAAAUAAUUUUUUUGCAUUUAUUAAUCACAGACAAUAGUCCAUAUCGCGAUUAUAAUUUGAUUAACAGCCCUACUAUUGAUUUUUUUAAUAAAAAAAAAAGACAAAUUCCGUGACAUUCCACGUUAUACAGUAAAUUCCAUUUUUAUGACUUGAUUCCGCGCUUCCGUCCACGUUUUCCGCAUCGCGGAUAUCAUAGGGCCCUAAACUACAAAACUUGACUGCCUGUCAUAGUGUUUAUGUAUUUUCUGCUGAGACAGCAUUUCCACUUUUAAAAAGUCUGUUAAAUGCCGGAUCAGGGUCAUGGUCAACACAAAAAGGCCAGCCCCAUGAUACAAUAAAAUAAUAAUAUAAUAAAUAAUAUGAAUUCAAAUCCUAAGGCUAACCUGACACAUCUGUUUUAACUGUGAAAAAGGGAAUAAAAAGAGUGGCAAAAUGGUUGAUUCAUUUAUUUUCUCUAUUCAAAGGGCCGUUGGGAGGGUGAGGACGGAGGAGUGAGGAGCUGCACUGCAAUUUUGUUUUACUCAAGUUAUUCAGAUUAUUUUUUAUAUAAGUUUUAUACAUGUUAUUUUUCAGAGUUUUUAAUAACUUUAGAACAUAACUUAAAGUUAUGUUAAUAUGUUAUGCAAGUUAUGUACAAAUUAUUCCCACAAAAAUGACUGGUCUCUCUUCAUUGAAGCAAUACAUUUUACAUUUUAGUGUACUUAAGUCGGUUAAAUGUAAUAUUUGUAUUUAGGGGUUUACUGUAAAAUAAGGUAACCCAAGCAGACAAAUAUGGUAGCCCAUUUAUAUACCUGUUGUGGCCCAUAAGACCAUUAGACAAGACCUCGCUGGGUCCCAUCAUCAACCCAUGUAGGCAGACUCCUGUAGGCUCCAAAUGGGAGAAACCUGGGCUAACCCAUGUGAGGCCUCCAUGGAAAAUGAGGACAAAAUUGACUGGGCCCCAAAUAUCAGCCCAGGUGCAACCCCUUUGGGCCCCACAUGGGAGUGCUGGCUGGGAGCAGUAUACAUUCCUUAAUAUAUUUAUUUUUAAAUGUUAGAACUAUAAAACAGACAUAACACAAGAAGAACAUGACUGCCAGAUCACCACUUCAUAACCUCAGACUAAUCAGAAACAAUGACCUAGUAUCUAUGACCUAGUAUCAACAACAAAGAUUUUAAAAUAAAUACAUUAACUUACAUUUAUUUGAACACAAAAUCCAUGCUUCUAUCCUUGUGAAUGAACAUUUCCGUCACUUUGUUGUAAAAGUCGACCUCUUGUCGAAGUUUUGAUAGCCUCUCAUUCUCUAUUUUUAAUUGAAACUAACUAACUGCCAAAUCUACGUAGGUCGCUGAUGCUUGCAGUAUAUACAUUUUAGCACUUACUAACGCAUUAGGUGAACUUGUAUGUGUUGACACAAAACUAAAAUCUAGCCUAUCAGAUGACUGAAAGAAGGAGCUUCUGAUUGGCUUAAACAAUAUGGUAAGCAUGCUUACCUUGGCCAUUUGUAGUAAUGGGCAUGAUUCAGUUUGAAUAAAUGAAAGGGCGGUAAACAAUGGAAUCAGAGAAAGCAAAACAUAAAGUGCUUAUACCUGAGGGUGGCGCCAAAGCAAAUAAAUGAAUAACUGUGGAAAAGAUGACGAAUUUGAACAAAAACAGUAGUUUAUAUUAACAAUUACAUUUAAAUAUUUCAUACUGUCAUUUUUCUUUUCACCCUUCUGUUAGGUAAGCACUGCUUUUCUUAUAUGGAUGGCACAU